This 371-nucleotide non-coding RNA is filed under the name Tumebacillus algifaecis. Its description in RNAcentral is "cspA thermoregulator". It matches the Rfam family "cspA thermoregulator", at positions 90 to 428 of the family's 428-position model. The record is from Rfam by way of RNAcentral. Lineage: Bacteria; Bacillati; Bacillota; Bacilli; Caryophanales; Alicyclobacillaceae.
ACCAUUAUUAGUUCGGAAAUUGCAGUGCUCGAAAGUGAGUCGGUGCAUUUUGAAUCGGGCGAAAUGGUAGCUAAUAUUUCGUCUUUUAUGGACGUAUCAGGAGGUCUAUCACCAUGGAAACAAAAGGUACUGUUAAGUGGUUCAACGCAGAAAAAGGUUACGGUUUCAUCACUGCUGAAGGUGGCGAAGAUGUAUUCGUACAUUUCUCCGCAAUCAAAGCAGACGGCUUCAAAACCCUCGAAGAAGGCCAAAACGUUACUUUUGAAAUCGUAGAUGGCAACCGCGGUCCGCAAGCAUCUAACGUUGAAAAAGCGUAAGCUUUCGUCAAAUGACAAAUUUUAACCAGCGAAUCUUUGGAUUCGCUGGUUUUU